This 497-nucleotide ribosomal RNA is filed under the name uncultured bacterium. RNAcentral describes it as "partial 16S ribosomal RNA". It matches the Rfam family "Bacterial small subunit ribosomal RNA", at positions 28 to 507 of the family's 1533-position model. The record is from RNAcentral.
GAUGAACGCUGGCGGCGUGCCUAAUACAUGCAAGUCGAGCGGACAGACGAUGAUCUUGUUCCUUUGACGUUAGCGGCAGACGGGUGAGUAACACGUGGAUAACCUACCUAUAUUACGGGGAUCACUACGGGAAACCGGAUCUAAUACCAGAGAAUAUAUUGAACCGCAUGGUUCAAUAGUGAAAUACGGCUUUGCUGUCACUUAUAGCUGGAUCUGCGCCGGAUUAGCUAGUUGGUAAGGUAACGGCUUACCAAGGCAACGAUGCGUAGCCGACCUGAGAGGGUGAUCGGCGACACUGGAACUGAGACACGGUCCAGACGCCUACGGGAGGCAGCAGUAGCGAAUGUUCGGCAAUGGGCGGAAGCCUGACGCAGCAACGCCGCGUGAGUGACGAAGAUGUUCGGAGCGUAAAGCCCGCUUAUUAGGGAAGAACAACUGUGUACGUAACCGAGGAGGUCUUGACGGUACCUAAUCAAAAAGCAACGGCUAACUACGUG